UCAUCUUGGAUCUAAACAUGUGUUGUGGCACUUUCAUUUGAUUAUAGGAAUCAUUAAAAGAUGGGAAAUCACUAUAGAGAUAGUGAACUCUUAAGAACAACAUUACAUAUCCAUUAACUAAAGCUUAUCCAACAGCAGGAUAAUCGUCACUUAGAGAAGAAGGGUAUGAGAUACCAUGACGAUUGGCUUUAGUGCAAGUGGGAGAUUGA
Molecule: long non-coding RNA, 209 nt
Filed under: Panax ginseng (ginseng)
Lineage: Eukaryota; Viridiplantae; Streptophyta; Magnoliopsida; Apiales; Araliaceae
Description: long non-coding RNA (PGIN_LNC001531)
Source: RNAcentral